GAUGAACGCUGGCGGCGUGCCUAAUACAUGCAAGUCGAACGCUGGAAAUCUAGCUUGCUAGAUUGAAGGAGUGGCGAACGGGUGAGUAAUACAUAAGCAACCUACCCACGAAGACUGGGAUAAUCUCUGGAAACGGGGACUAAUACCGGAUAGGUAAUCGGAAGGCAUCUUCUGAUUAUUAAAGGUUAAAAACACUGGUGGAUGGGCUUAUGGCGCAUUAGUUAGUUGGUGAGGUAACGGCCCACCAAGACGAUGAUGCGUAGCCGGCCUGAGAGGGUGAACGGCCACAUUGGGACUGAGACACGGCCCAGACUCCUACGGGAGGCAGCAGUAGGGAAGUUUCGGCAAUGGGGGAAACCCUGACCGAGCAACGCCGCGUGAGUGAUGACGGCCUUCGGGUUGUAAAGCUCUGUUGUAAGGGAAGAACGGUAGAUAGAGAAUAUCUAAAUGACGGUACCUUACCAGAAAGCAACGGCUAACUACGUG
Molecule: ribosomal RNA, 486 nt
Filed under: uncultured bacterium
Lineage: Bacteria
Description: partial 16S ribosomal RNA
Rfam family: Bacterial small subunit ribosomal RNA
Source: RNAcentral